CCUACGGGUGGCAGCAGUGAGGAAUAUUGGUCAAUGGGCGUAAGCCUGAACCAGCCAAGUCGCGUGAGGGAUGAAGGUUCUAUGGAUCGUAAACCUCUUUUAUAGGGAAUAAAGUGUGGGACGUGUCCUAUUUUGUAUGUACCUUAUGAAUAAGGAUCGGCUAACUCCGUGCCAGCAGCCGCGGUAAUACGGGGGAUGCGAGCGUUAUCCGGAUUUAUUGGGUUUAAAGGGUGCGUAGGCGGCGCUUCAGGUCAGCGGUGAAAUACCGGGGCUCAACCCCGGGGCUGCCGUUGAAACCGGAGCGCUAGAAUUCCGAUGCCGUCGGAGGAAUGUGUGGUGUAGCGGUGAAAUGCAUAGAUAUCACACAGAACACCGAUUGCGAAGGCAUCUGACGAAUCGGAGAUUGACGCUGAUGCACGAAAGCGUGGGUAUCGAACAGGAUUAGAUACCCUUGUAGUC
This 459-nucleotide ribosomal RNA is filed under the name uncultured bacterium. RNAcentral's name for it is "partial 16S ribosomal RNA". It matches the Rfam family "Bacterial small subunit ribosomal RNA", at positions 338 to 795 of the family's 1533-position model. The record is from RNAcentral.